UGGAAGUAAAAGUCGUAACAAGGUCUCCGUUGGUGAACCAGCGGAGGGAUCAUUAAAGAGUUAUACAACUCCUAAACCCAUGUGAACCUACCUUUGUUGCCUCGGCAGGUCUGCAGCCUACCCUGUGAGGACCUACCCUGUAGGGACCUUACCCGGUAGUUGCAGGUUUUAACCUGCCGGUGGUCUACCAAACUCUGUUUACUAUGUUAUUCUGAAUAAUAUAACUAAAUAAGUUAAAACUUUCAACAACGGAUCUCUUGGUUCUGGCAUCGAUGAAGAACGCAGCGAAAUGCGAUAAGUAAUGUGAAUUGCAGAAUUCAGUGAAUCAUCGAAUCUUUGAACGCACAUUGCGCCCAUUAGUAUUCUAGUGGGCAUGCCUGUUCGAGCGUCAUUUCAACCCUUAAGCCCCUGUUGCUUAGCGUUGGGAGCCUACAGAUACCCCCUGUAGCUCCCCAAAGUUAGUGGCGGAGUCGGUUUCACACUCUAGACGUAGUAAUUUUUAUCUCGCCUAUAGAUGAGCCGGUCCCCUGCCGUAAAACCCCCCUAUUUCUAAAGGUG
This 558-nucleotide ribosomal RNA is filed under the name Xylaria sp. JDCH5. RNAcentral describes it as "eukaryotic LSU rRNA". The stretch from base 238 to 391 matches the Rfam family "5.8S ribosomal RNA". The record is from RNAcentral. Lineage: Eukaryota; Fungi; Ascomycota; Sordariomycetes; Xylariales; Xylariaceae.